UACGAAGGGGACUAGCGUUGUUCGGAAUCACUGGGCGUAAAGCGCACGUAGGCGGCGCGUUAAGUCAGGGGUGAAAUCAUGGAGCUCAACUCCAGAACUGCCUUUGAUACUGGCGUGCUCGAGUGUUGGAGAGGUUGGUGGAACUCCGAGUGUAGAGGUGAAAUUCGUAGAUAUUCGGAAGAACACCAGUGGCGAAGGCGGCCAACUGUCCCAUUACGGACGCUGAGGUGCGAAAGCGUGGGGAGCAAACAGG
This 253-nucleotide ribosomal RNA is filed under the name uncultured bacterium. RNAcentral's name for it is "partial 16S ribosomal RNA". It matches the Rfam family "Bacterial small subunit ribosomal RNA", at positions 524 to 776 of the family's 1533-position model. The record is from RNAcentral.